CAGCCGCCGCGGUAAUACGGAGGGGGCUAGCGUUGUUCGGAAUUACUGGGCGUAAAGCGCACGUAGGCGGACUGGAAAGUCAGAGGUGAAAUCCCAGGGCUCAACCUUGGAACUGCCUUUGAAACUAUCAGUCUGGAGUUCGAGAGAGGUGAGUGGAAUUCCGAGUGUAGAGGUGAAAUGCGUAGAUAUUCGGAAGAACACCAGUGGCGAAGGCGGCUCACUGGACGCGUAUUGACGCUGAGGUGCGAAAGCGUGGGGAGCAAACAGGAUUAGAUACCCGUGUAGUCCCUGUCUCUUAUAC
Molecule: ribosomal RNA, 301 nt
Filed under: uncultured bacterium
Lineage: Bacteria
Description: partial 16S ribosomal RNA
Rfam family: Bacterial small subunit ribosomal RNA
Source: RNAcentral